GAUGAACGCUGGCGGCGUGCCUAAUACAUGCAAGUCGAGCGAACAGAUGAGGAGCUUGCUCCUCUGACGUUAGCGGCGGACGGGUGAGUAACACGUGGAUAACCUACCUAUAAGACUGGGAUAACUUCGGGAAACCGGAGCUAAUACCGGAUAAUAUAUUGAACCGCAUGGUUCAAUAGUGAAAGACGGUUUUGCUGUCACUUAUAGAUGGAUCCGCGCCGCAUUAGCUAGUUGGUAAGGUAACGGCUUACCAAGGCAACGAUGCGUAGCCGACCUGAGAGGGUGAUCGACCACACUGGAACUGAAACACGGUCCAGACUCCUACAGGAGGCAGCAGUAGGGAAUCUUCCGCAAUGGGCGAAAGCCUGACGGAGCAACGCCGCGUGAGGGAUGAAGGUCUUCGGAUCGUAAAACUCUGUUAUUAGGGAAGAACAAAUGUGUAAGUAACUAUGCACAUCUUGACGGUACCUAAUCAGAAAACCACGGCUAACUACGUG
RNAcentral lists this ribosomal RNA (497 nucleotides) under uncultured bacterium. RNAcentral describes it as "partial 16S ribosomal RNA". It matches the Rfam family "Bacterial small subunit ribosomal RNA", at positions 28 to 507 of the family's 1533-position model. The record is from RNAcentral.